UGCAUAUGAAUCUGCCCGAUAGUGGGGGAUAACCUGGGGAAACUCAGGCUAAUACCGCAUACGUCCUACGGGAGAAAGCAGGGGAUCUUCGGACCUUGCGCUAUCGGAUGAGCCUAUGUCGGAUUAGCUAGUUGGUGAGGUAACGGCUCACCAAGGGGGACGAUCCGGUAAGUUGGUUUUGAGGAGGAUGAUUCAGCCCCCACUGGGAAUUGAGACCCGGGCCCAGACUUCUUACGGGAGGCAGCAGUGGGGAAUUUUUGGACAAUGGGGGAAACCCUGAUCCAAGCCAUGCCGCGUUUGUGAAGAAGGCCUUCGGGUUUGUAAAGCACUUUAAGCGAGGAAGAAGGGCUUGGGGGCUAAUACCCCUCAGGAAGGACAUCACUCGCAGAAGAAGCACCGGCUAACUCCGUGCCAGCAGCCGCGGUAAUACGGAGGGUGCGAGCGUUAAUCGGAAUUACUGGGCGUAAAGCGCGCGUAGGUGGCUUGAUAAGCCGGUUGUGAAAGCCCCGGGCUCAACCUGGGAACGGCAUCCGGAACUGUCAGGCUAGAGUGCAGGAGAGGAAGGUAGAAUUCCCGGUGUAGCGGUGAAAUGCGUAGAGAUCGGGAGGAAUACCAGUGGCGAAGGCGGCCUUCUGGACUGACACUGACACUGAGGUGCGAAAGCGUGGGUAGCAAACAGGAUUAGAUACCCUGGUAGUCCACGCCGUAAACGAUGUCGACUAGCCGUUGGGGUCCUUGAGACCUUUGUGGCGCAGUUAACGCGAUAAGUCGACCGCCUGGGGAGUACGGCCGCAAGGUUAAAACUCAAAUGAAUUGACGGGGGCCCGCACAAGCGGUGGAGCAUGUGGUUUAAUUCGAUGCAACGCGAAGAACCUUACCUACCCUUGACAUCGUGCGAACUUUCCAGAGAUGGAUUGGUGCCUUCGGGAACGCACAGACAGGUGCUGCAUGGCUGUCGUCAGCUCGUGUUGUGAAAUGUUGGGUUAAGUCCCGUAACGAGCGCAACCCUUGUCCCUAUUUGCCAGCGAUUCGGUCGGGAACUCUAGGGAGACUGCCGGUGACAAACCGGAGGAAGGUGGGGACGACGUCAAGUCAUCAUGGCCCUUACGGGUAGGGCUACACACGUGCUACAAUGGUCGGUACAAAGGGUUGCAAUGCCGCGAGGUGGAGCUAAUCCCAUAAAGCCGGUCUCAGUCCGGAUCGGAGUCUGCAACUCGACUCCGUGAAGUCGGAAUCGCUAGUAAUCGUGAAUCAGA
This 1256-nucleotide ribosomal RNA is filed under the name Halomonas sp. MML1921. RNAcentral describes it as "bacterial SSU rRNA". It matches the Rfam family "Bacterial small subunit ribosomal RNA", at positions 114 to 1353 of the family's 1533-position model. Lineage: Bacteria; Pseudomonadati; Pseudomonadota; Gammaproteobacteria; Oceanospirillales; Halomonadaceae. The record is from RNAcentral.